This 382-nucleotide ribosomal RNA is filed under the name uncultured eukaryote. RNAcentral describes it as "partial 18S ribosomal RNA". It matches the Rfam family "Eukaryotic small subunit ribosomal RNA", at positions 592 to 976 of the family's 1831-position model. The record is from RNAcentral.
UGUAAGCGUAUACCAAAGUUGUUGCAGUUAAAACGCUCGUAGUCGGAAUUUGGCAGUUCCGGAUGUGUGCACGUCGUGUGCGCACUUCGCGGGGAUUGCUUUUGUGGUCUUGCGUAGGAUGAGGCACUUUUAUUAGUGAACGUCCUCACGCAACCACUUUUUACUGUGAGAAAAUCAGAGUGCUCAAAGCAGGCAUUUGCCGUGAAUGUAUUAGCAUGGAAUAAUAGAAUAGGACUUGGUUCUAUUUUGUUGGUUUGUUGGGACUGAGUAAUGAUUAAGAGGGACAGUUGGGGGCAUUUGUAUUUCGGUGCUAGAGGUGAAAUUCUUAGAUUACCGAAAGACAAACUGCUGCGAAAGCGUCUGCCAAGGAUGUUUUCUUUGA